CGAUGAACCUCCUUCGGGAGGGGAUUAGUGGCGAACGGGUGAGUAACACGUGGGCAAUCUGCCCUGCACUCUGGGACAAGCCCUGGAAACGGGGUCUAAUACCGGAUACGACCAUCGGGGGCAUCCCCGGUGGUGGAAAGCUCCGGCGGUGCAGGAUGAGCCCGCGGCCUAUCAGCUUGUUGGUGGGGUGACGGCCUACCAAGGCGACGACGGGUAGCCGGCCUGAGAGGGCGACCGGCCACACUGGGACUGAGACACGGCCCAGACUCCUACGGGAGGCAGCAGUGGGGAAUAUUGCACAAUGGGCGAAAGCCUGAUGCAGCGACGCCGCGUGAGGGAUGACGGCCUUCGGGUUGUAAACCUCUUUCAGCAGGGAAGAAGCGAAAGUGACGGUACCUGCAGAAGAAGCGCCGGCUAACUACGUGCCAGCAGCCGCGGUAAUACGUAGGGCGCGAGCGUUGUCCGGAAUUAUUGGGCGUAAAGAGCUCGUAGGCGGCUUGUCGCGUCGGUUGUGAAAGCCCGGGGCUUAACCCCGGGUCUGCAGUCGAUACGGGCAGGCUAGAGUUCGGUAGGGGAGAUCGGAAUUCCUGGUGUAGCGGUGAAAUGCGCAGAUAUCAGGAGGAACACCGGUGGCGAAGGCGGAUCUCUGGGCCGAUACUGACGCUGAGGAGCGAAAGCGUGGGGAGCGAACAGGAUUAGAUACCCUGGUAGUCCACGCCGUAAACGUUGGGCACUAGGUGUGGGCGACAUUCCACGUCGUCCGUGCCGCAGCUAACGCAUUAAGUGCCCCGCCUGGGGAG
Molecule: ribosomal RNA, 800 nt
Filed under: Streptomyces sp. CUA-774
Lineage: Bacteria; Bacillati; Actinomycetota; Actinomycetes; Kitasatosporales; Streptomycetaceae
Description: bacterial SSU rRNA
Rfam family: Bacterial small subunit ribosomal RNA
Source: RNAcentral